AUUAAAAUUGUUGCAGUUAAAAAGCUCGUAGUUGGAUUUCUGGUUGGGCGCAUUUGGCCCGCUUCGGUUACGAGGUUGAGUGCCGUUUUGCGCCCGCCAUCCUUCUAGAGUACGACUCUCCCUUUACUGGGUUGGGCCGGAAUCUAGAUCAUUUACUUUGAAAAAAUUAGAGUGUUUAAAGCAGGCUUACGCUAUGAAUACAUUAGCAUGGAAUAAUAAUUUAGGACUUUGGUCUUAUUUUGUUGGUUUCUAGGACUAAAGUAAUGAUUGAUAGGGAUAGUUGGGGGUGCUAGUAUUCAGCGGCCAGAGGUGAAAUUCUUGGAUUCGCUGAAGACUAACUUAUGCGAAAGCAUUCACCAAGGAUGUCUUCUUUAAUCAAGAACGAAAGUUGGGGGAUCGAAGACGAUCAGAUACCGUCGUAGUCUCAACCAUAAACUAUGCCGACUAGGGAUGAGUGAACGUUGCUUAUUCGACUUCAUUCGCACCUUAUGAGAAAUUAAAGUCUUUGGGUUCCGGGGGGAGUAUGGUCGCAAGGCUGAAACUUAAAGGAAUUGACGGAAGGGCACACCAGGAGUGGAGCCUGCGGCUUAAUUUGACCCAACACGGGAAAACUUACCAGGUCCAGACAUAAUAAGGAUUGACAGAUUGAAGAUCUUUCUUGAUUUUAUGGGUGGUGGUGCAUGGCCAUUCUUAGUUGGUGGAGUGAUUUGUCUGGUUAAUUCCGUUAACGAACGAGACCUCGACCUGCUAAAUAGUUUGGUGAAUUCUCCGGGAUUCAUUUACGACUUCUUAGAGGGACUAUCGGUGAUUUAGCCGAUGGAAGUUCGAGGCAAUAACAGGUCUGUGAUGCCCUUAGAUGUCCUGGGCCGCACGCGCGCUACACUGAUACGUUCAUCGAGCUUACAACCUUGUCUGAGAGGACUGGGUAAUCUUUUUAAACCGUAUCGUGCUGGGGAUAGAUUAUUGUAAUUCUUAAUCUUCAACGAGGAAUUCCUAGUAAACGCUGGUCAUCAACCAGCAUUGAUUACGUCCCUGCCCUUUGUACACACCGCCCGUCGCUACUACCGAUUGAAUGGCUUAGUGAGUUUCAGGGAUUGUUGUAUCUGCGUGGUUCGCCAUUCUGGUACAUCCGAGAACUGAAUCAAACUUGAUCAUUUAGAGGAAGUAAAAGUCGUAACAAGGUAUCCGUAGGUGAACCUGCGGAUG
Molecule: ribosomal RNA, 1206 nt
Filed under: metagenome
Description: SSU rRNA
Rfam family: Eukaryotic small subunit ribosomal RNA
Source: RNAcentral